Molecule: long non-coding RNA, 1918 nt
Organism: Astatotilapia calliptera (eastern happy)
Lineage: Eukaryota; Metazoa; Chordata; Actinopteri; Cichliformes; Cichlidae
Source: Ensembl
GGAAGCCAUUUUUGUAUUGGGAUUUGCACAAUGAGGCAUACCAGACGUCUCCCUGUUUAAUCCUUCGUCAUCCACCUUGUUAUGCCAUGAAGAAGCUUUGUUUAUGGAGGAUCACUAACAGGAGCGUGGGAAGACUCCAGAAUCCACUCUGGCUGGAAUCCGGUGGAUACAGCAGUGUUUACAGUUACAGUACGUGAUAUCUUGAUAUCAGGCGGUCAACACUGGGGGAAGACAAGAAGCAGACGUACUUCCAAAGAGGGAGCUGCAGUGAGGACAGAGGAGGCGCUGGAAGGUUUCCCUAAUAGUUCCUGGUGAAUCAAAGCAGAACCAUAAAGGUUGCUGGACUGCAUGAUGGCCUUACCCCUGAGCCGUCAUCCUGUUAAAGGAGGAACCAGUUAGAAGCUGUUUUCAAAGUAGCUGAGCAGAUUUCAUCUCAACAGACAAAGCCGAUGUCAGAAGAUGUCAGAGAAGAACUUCAGGCCGUGGACUGAAAAGGUAUUUUUUUCUUGUUAUCAAAGACAUUUGGAGUGACGGCUUCUACAAGUGGUUGUGCUAAAGUAAAGCUUACAGUCUAAGAAAUCACAGUGUUGAUGUUCAGCACAAAGAGAAAAGCUCACUUGUUUGAAUUUAUUUACAAUCAUAGUUUUAUAAAUUGUGACUGUAAACAGCUUUUACAGCUCUGAUAUUGUUUGACACUCGAUAUCAGGUGAUGGGAUUUAAUUUAAAGGUUUCUGUGUCCCAAUGAGCCAUUUACACUGACCAGUGUCAGUUUAACUGUAACACAUUCAUUAUUUAGAUCCAGCAGAGAAAUAACUGAAUGUAAAAAUGGCAGCCCUCAGGCAGGUUUAUAGAGAUAUAUGCAUGCAUUAUGAAAUUUAUGUAUCCCAGAUAAUUGUUAUUCAUCUAGUCAUGGCAGACCUACCCCUUCCUCCCAAGUUAACUGCAACCCAAAAUAACUAGUGGGGCUAUUUACACACUCACAACCAGUGUGGGGUAAAAAGAGCCACCAAAAAGCUGUCAGCCACAGAUGUGCUAGAAGAGUUAGAAACUCUACUUAUGGAGAAACUUUCUAAGCCUAACAGGGGACAGGUAGUCCUGCCCAAAUAACAUGAUAUAACCCCACAUACAGCCCAGCCAUAAAGUGAACCAAGUCAUUUAGUUAAAGACAGCAUGGGACCAAAUGCAUGUAACCAGCCUGCACCAACCUGACAUUUCUUCCUCCUGAAUUAAAUGAAUGAAUGGAUGAAAGUUAAAUGACUACAAACCUAAAGCCACUAGUUCCCACACUGGAGCUCCCUGACACUGUGUGUUAACCGUAUUUAGCUUGUAUCAACAGUUGUAACAGGCUAAGCCACCUGAGACACUGCAUUGAAUUUGUUCCUGUCUUAAUGGUUUCAGCUCAGAUGUUCUGCUUUUUCCUUUCAGUAGAUCAAAGCAGCUCGUGCUCCUUCUGCUUCCAAUUUAGAAGAAGAAGAAGAAGAAGAAGAAGAAGAAGAAGGCGAAGGCUUCAGCAAAGUGGCGUUCAUGGUCUCAGUGAACAGUCACGGUCACACACUGCAUGUGGUUUUAAAAGCAACAUGUCUGUUCACCACAACAAUGGAGAUGUGUAAUAUUAGUGCAGCUACGGUUUGUUCUUGAACAUCAGUUCUGUUUUCUACUUUGAUCACUUAGACCAAAAAAGUGUUGUUGUCAGAUUCUUUCUUUUACAUCUAUAAACCACCUGCUCAUUUUUUAUUACAAUUAGUUUCACAUGAAUGUUAGUGUUUCCUUUUAUGAUCUUUUAAUGCUUACACUACACUGUACAUGUCUACAUUAGAGACAUUUCUGUUGACUCAGAGUUGUGAAAUGUUCUUUUAUUUGAUGCACAAUAUGAAGUUCAUAAUUUUCUUACAAAUAAAACUCUAAUGACAAACAUGAA